This 406-nucleotide ribosomal RNA is filed under the name uncultured bacterium. RNAcentral describes it as "partial 16S ribosomal RNA". It matches the Rfam family "Bacterial small subunit ribosomal RNA", at positions 30 to 526 of the family's 1533-position model. The record is from RNAcentral.
AUUGAACGCUGGCGGCAGGCCUAACACAUGCAAGUCGAACGAGUGGCGGACGGGUGAGUAAUGUCUGGGAAACUGCCCGAUGGAGGGGGAUAACUAAUGGAAACGGUAGCUAAUACCGCAUACCAUCGGAUGUGCCCAGAGGGGCUUAGCUAGUAGGUGGGGUAAAGGCUCACCUAGGCGACGAUCCCUAGCUGGUCUGAGAGGAUGACCAGCCACACUGGAACGGAGACUCGUUCCAGACUCCGACGGGAGGCAGCAGUGGGGAAUAGUGCACAAGGGGUGCAAGCCUGAUGCAGCCAUGCCGCGUGUAUGAAGAAGGCCUUCGGGUUGUAAAGUACUUUCAGCGAGGAGGCGUUACUCGCAGAAGAAGCACCGGCUAACUCCGUGCCAGCAGCCGCGGUAAUAC